CCUACGGGUGGCUGCAGUCGAGAAUCAUUCACAAUGGGGGAAACCCUGAUGGUGCGACGCCGCGUGGGGGAAUGAAGGUCUUCGGAUUGUAAAUCCCUGUCAUGUGGGAGCACAUUAAAAAGUUAGUACCAAAAGAGGAACGGACGGCUACCUCUGUGCCAGCAGCCGCGGUAAUACAGAGGUCUCAAGCGUUGUUCGGAUUCACUGGGCGUAAAGCGUGCGUAGGCUGUUUCGUAAGUCGUGUGUGAAAGGCGCGGGCUCAACCCGCGGACGGCACAUGAUACUGCGGGACUAGAGUAAGGGAGAGGGAACCGGAAUUCUCGGUGUAGCAGUGAAAUGCGUAGAUAUCGGGAGGAACACUCGUGGCGAAGGCGGGUUCCUGGACAUCAACUGACGCUGAGGCACGAAGGCCAGGGGAGCGAAAGGGAUUAGAUACCCCUGUAGUC
RNAcentral lists this ribosomal RNA (446 nucleotides) under uncultured bacterium. Its description in RNAcentral is "partial 16S ribosomal RNA". It matches the Rfam family "Bacterial small subunit ribosomal RNA", at positions 338 to 795 of the family's 1533-position model. The record is from RNAcentral.